CAGCCGCCGCGGUAAUACGUAGGUGGCAAGCGUUGUCCGGAAUUAUUGGGCGUAAAGGGCUCGCAGGCGGCUUCUUAAGUCUGAUGUGAAAGCCCCCGGCUCAACCGGGGAGGGUCAUUGGAAACUGGGAAACUUGAGUGCAGAAGAGGAGAGUGGAAUUCCACGUGUAGCGGUGAAAUGCGUAGAGAUGUGGAGGAACACCAGUGGCGAAGGCGACUCUCUGGUCUGUAACUGACGCUGAGGAGCGAAAGCGUGGGGAGCGAACAGGAUUAGAUACCCCCGUAGUCCCUGUCUCUUAUAA
RNAcentral lists this ribosomal RNA (301 nucleotides) under uncultured bacterium. Its description in RNAcentral is "partial 16S ribosomal RNA". It matches the Rfam family "Bacterial small subunit ribosomal RNA", at positions 509 to 809 of the family's 1533-position model. The record is from RNAcentral.